Molecule: ribosomal RNA, 2131 nt
Filed under: Klebsiella sp. T11
Lineage: Bacteria; Pseudomonadati; Pseudomonadota; Gammaproteobacteria; Enterobacterales; Enterobacteriaceae
Description: bacterial LSU rRNA
Rfam family: Bacterial large subunit ribosomal RNA
Source: RNAcentral
GGGUUGUGAGGUUAAGCGACUAAGCGUACACGGUGGAUGCCCUGGCAGUCAGAGGCGAUGAAGGACGUGCUAAUCUGCGAAAAGCGUCGGUAAGGUGAUAUGAACCGUUAUAACCGGCGAUGUCCGAAUGGGGAAACCCAGUGCAAUUCGUUGCACUAUCGUUAACUGAAUACAUAGGUUAACGAGGCGAACCGGGGGAACUGAAACAUCUAAGUACCCCGAGGAAAAGAAAUCAACCGAGAUUCCCCCAGUAGCGGCGAGCGAACGGGGAGCAGCCCAGAGUCUGAAUCAGCUUGUGUGUUAGUGGAACGGUCUGGAAAGUCCGACGGUACAGGGUGAUAGUCCCGUACACCAAAAUGCACAGGUUGUGAACUCGAAGAGUAGGGCGGGACACGUGGUAUCCUGUCUGAAUAUGGGGGGACCAUCCUCCAAGGCUAAAUACUCCUGACUGACCGAUAGUGAACCAGUACCGUGAGGGAAAGGCGAAAAGAACCCCGGCGAGGGGAGUGAAAAAGAACCUGAAACCGUGUACGUACAAGCAGUGGGAGCACCUUCGGGUGUGACUGCGUACCUUUUGUAUAAUGGGUCAGCGACUUAUAUUCUGUAGCAAGGUUAACCGUAUAGGGGAGCCGCAGGGAAACCGAGUCUUAACUGGGCGUUAAGUUGCAGGGUAUAGACCCGAAACCCGGUGAUCUAGCCAUGGGCAGGUUGAAGGUUGGGUAACACUAACUGGAGGACCGAACCGACUAAUGUUGAAAAAUUAGCGGAUGACUUGUGGCUGGGGGUGAAAGGCCAAUCAAACCGGGAGAUAGCUGGUUCUCCCCGAAAGCUAUUUAGGUAGCGCCUCGUGAACUCAUCUUCGGGGGUAGAGCACUGUUUCGGCUAGGGGGUCAUCCCGACUUACCAACCCGAUGCAAACUACGAAUACCGAAGAAUGUUAUCACGGGAGACACACGGCGGGUGCUAACGUCCGUCGUGAAGAGGGAAACAACCCAGACCGCCAGCUAAGGUCCCAAAGUCAUGGUUAAGUGGGAAACGAUGUGGGAAGGCACAGACAGCCAGGAUGUUGGCUUAGAAGCAGCCAUCAUUUAAAGAAAGCGUAAUAGCUCACUGGUCGAGUCGGCCUGCGCGGAAGAUGUAACGGGGCUAAACCAUGCACCGAAGCUGCGGCAGCGACACUUAUGUGUUGUUGGGUAGGGGAGCGUUCUGUAAGCCUGCGAAGGUGGCCUGUGAGGGCUGCUGGAGGUAUCAGAAGUGCGAAUGCUGACAUAAGUAACGAUAAAGCGGGUGAAAAGCCCGCUCGCCGGAAGACCAAGGGUUCCUGUCCAACGUUAAUCGGGGCAGGGUGAGUCGACCCCUAAGGCGAGGCCGAAAGGCGUAGUCGAUGGGAAACAGGUUAAUAUUCCUGUACUUGGUGUUACUGCGAAGGGGGGACGGAGAAGGCUAUGUUAGCCGGGCGACGGUUGUCCCGGUUUAAGCAUGUAGGCGGAGGUUCCAGGUAAAUCCGGUACCUUUUAACGCUGAGGUGUGAUGACGAGGCACUACGGUGCUGAAGUAACAAAUGCCCUGCUUCCAGGAAAAGCCUCUAAGCAUCAGGUAACAUUAAAUCGUACCCCAAACCGACACAGGUGGUCAGGUAGAGAAUACCAAGGCGCUUGAGAGAACUCGGGUGAAGGAACUAGGCAAAAUGGUGCCGUAACUUCGGGAGAAGGCACGCUGGUGUGUAGGUGAAGUCCCUGCGGAUGGAGCUGAGACCAGUCGAAGAUACCAGCUGGCUGCAACUGUUUAUUAAAAACACAGCACUGUGCAAACACGAAAGUGGACGUAUACGGUGUGACGCCUGCCCGGUGCCGGAAGGUUAAUUGAUGGGGUUAUCCGUAAGGAGAAGCUCUUGAUCGAAGCCCCGGUAAACGGCGGCCGUAACUAUAACGGUCCUAAGGUAGCGAAAUUCCUUGUCGGGUAAGUUCCGACCUGCACGAAUGGCGUAAUGAUGGCCAGGCUGUCUCCACCCGAGACUCAGUGAAAUUGAACUCGCUGUGAAGAUGCAGUGUACCCGCGGCAAGACGGAAAGACCCCGUGAACCUUUACUAUAGCUUGACACUGAACAUUGAGCCUUGAUGUGUAGGAUAGG